RNAcentral lists this ribosomal RNA (333 nucleotides) under Candidatus Pacearchaeota archaeon. RNAcentral's name for it is "bacterial SSU rRNA". It matches the Rfam family "Archaeal small subunit ribosomal RNA", at positions 80 to 353 of the family's 1478-position model. Lineage: Archaea; Nanobdellati. The record is from RNAcentral.
GGCGAACUGCUCAGUAACACGUAGCUAACCUACCCUUAGGUCAGGGAUAACCUCGGGAAACUGAGGCUAACACCUGAUAGGAGUUUAUAUCUGGAAAGAUUUUACUCUGAAACUCUUUUCACAAUUUGCAUUUUCGUUAGAUAGUUUUUAUAUUAUCUCUUGAAAAAGCGAAUUGCUCAAGCCUAAGGAUGGGGCUGCGGCUGAUUAGCUUGUUGGUGGGGUAACUGCCUACCAAGGCUAUGAUCAGUACGGGCUCUUAGCGGAGUUGCCCGGAGAAGGAAUCUGAGACACUAUUCCUAGCUCUACGGAGUGCAGCAGGGGUGAAUCUUUUAC